Arabidopsis thaliana (thale cress) is the source of this 761-nucleotide long non-coding RNA. RefSeq annotates it as other RNA. NCBI's taxonomy places the organism in Eukaryota, Viridiplantae, Streptophyta, Magnoliopsida, Brassicales, Brassicaceae. The record is from RefSeq. The transcript is spliced from 2 exons.
CAAAUCAUUUCCCCUACAACUAAUUAAAAGAUAAUAAUUUAGUUUGCUCAUAAUUAUUGUUUUGUUAAUAUAAAAAUAUUUACUGGCCCAUUUUCCAAAUGCAAAUUUAUCUUCCCCUUUACGGGACAUAAUCAUUAGCAAAACCAAACUCAUUUACAUACAAACAUAGAAGAUUGAAACGUAUACAUUUUUGCCUUCCCUAUAUUAUCUUUUUAUCUUAUAAUCCCAUUUAUAACCACACAAUAACAGUUACCCCUAACAUAGAAAUUUAUUUUCCCUUUUUUGACAUUGUGGCUAUGGUACAUUCACCAAAUACCGAUGCCUUAGCCCCUAGACCUAUAAAUUAUCACAAUCCAGAAGAGAAGAAUCGUAUCCAAAAAAGCAAAGUAUAGAUCUGAAAUUCGUAGAUUCAACCUCCUGUAGUCACUUGCAUCCAUCACAUAUCAUAAGGUAUGACCUUCCAUACCCAAACUCCAAUCUUUAGGGUAAAAUCAUUUGCUUUUGCUUCGAUCUCUUAUGUCUCAAACAACGAUGUGUUUCUUAAUAAAUUUCUUCUAUAUAUUUAAUCCAAUAUCGUUUGGUUCCUCUUUGGUGACCUAGCCUUUGAUUCCGACAUUCCUGUUACCACUCACCAUAUGUAUCCUAACAAGUUAUUGUUGUGUUAUGUGGCCUUUAGUGUUGACUGUUGAGAAAUAAGAUCUCUAUGUGAAAGCAGAAAGAUGGUUUGUGCAUUUUAACAUUUUUUUAUUCACUUGACCCAG